UCUACCUAUAUAGAUGAUUACAGAUAUUGUUAUAAGGACAAGUCUAGAGUGAGGUAAAUGCAAUGCCACUUUGAAUACACAGCUAAUAAAUUUAGGAAUAGGAUUUUUCUUUUUAACUUGUCAUGAAAAUAACACUAUUUUCUUUGGUUUCAGGUAACAGGAUGAAGAAGUGAUCUAAAGAGCCUGACUUCCCACCAUGAAAAAGAAGCCAAGAGGAGCUGCUGUGCUUGUUGUGAGGGUGGGGACUAGAGCUGGGCCUAGCACCCCUGUGGAACCUGGGCUCUGCAGAGCAGGGAAAAUUAAUUGGAGCACCAGAGACCCAUGCAGCUCUGCUAGGCCUCCCUCAGGGAUUCCUUGCCAUCUUAAAGCCUUAUUCAUGUUAAGAGUUCAGGGUUUUGAGGGUCACCUAGCCUCAAAAAGCACCACUAAGAGUGCUUGCCUAUUUGUAUGCUAUCUUGAUGUUAAAUUGUGCCUAUCCUUGCCUGUGACAGUAAAUCAGGCUGUUUCUGUCAUAGCGGGCUGUCCACCAUGCAGUGAACACUACCUAACCUUAUUCUAUGACAAGCCAUGUUUACUAAUCUACCAACCUUAAGGAGGGUAUUUGAUGCCUGUGUCUUGCUGCAUGUGUCUAUGAUUGUUUCUGUCUGAAAUCUCACUUCAUUCUUUAAGAAUCCUGUGUAAUAAAGUUUGUAUUGAAGGCUUCUGUUUCCAUAAUGGAAUCUCUUGUAUUAGACAAAUCCUUCUGCAGUAAAUGAGUGUAAAGCUCAACAGAAUCGGUAAGACAGUACAUUGAAGGCAUUGGAGAGUAACCAACAUAGGACAUAAGAGGGGUUAUGAUCCUUUAUAGAGGAGGACUUUAUAAGAGUUUAUAAC
Pipistrellus kuhlii (Kuhl's pipistrelle) is the source of this 873-nucleotide long non-coding RNA. RefSeq lists it as uncharacterized. The transcript has 3 exons. The record is from RefSeq and is a predicted model, not a curated record. Lineage: Eukaryota; Metazoa; Chordata; Mammalia; Chiroptera; Vespertilionidae.